AUCUUGAGGUGGAGUAUGAAGUAAUCCUAAGGCAAUCCCUUGGUCUGACAAACAAAAAUCACAUAUAGGGCAUAUGCAGAGCAGACAAACUUGCAUCACAAAGCAAAGUCCAAUACUGCCCAACCCUGCGGUGUAAGUGUGACAGAUGUAUGAGCGGUAGGUUAC
RNAcentral lists this non-coding RNA (165 nucleotides) under human gut metagenome. The record is from RNAcentral.